Molecule: ribosomal RNA, 473 nt
Filed under: Streptococcus pneumoniae
Lineage: Bacteria; Bacillati; Bacillota; Bacilli; Lactobacillales; Streptococcaceae
Description: bacterial SSU rRNA
Rfam family: Bacterial small subunit ribosomal RNA
Source: RNAcentral
GACGAACGCUGGCGGCGUGCCUAAUACAUGCAAGUAGAACGCUGAAGGAGGAGCUUGCUUCUCUGGAUGAGUUGCGAACGGGUGAGUAACGCGUAGGUAACCUGCCUGGUAGCGGGGGAUAACUAUUGGAAACGAUAGCUAAUACCGCAUAAGAGUGGAUGUUGCAUGACAUUUGCUUAAAAGGUGCACUUGCAUCACUACCAGAUGGACCUGCGUUGUAUUAGCUAGUUGGUGGGGUAACGGCUCACCAAGGCGACGAUACAUAGCCGACCUGAGAGGGUGAUCGGCCACACUGGGACUGAGACACGGCCCAGACUCCUACGGGAGGCAGCAGUAGGGAAUCUUCGGCAAUGGACGGAAGUCUGACCGAGCAACGCCGCGUGAGUGAAGAAGGUUUUCGGAUCGUAAAGCUCUGUUGUAAGAGAAGAACGAGUGUGAGAGUGGAAAGUUCACACUGUGACGUAUCUACCAGA